This 240-nucleotide unclassified non-coding RNA is filed under the name soil metagenome. Its description in RNAcentral is "partial contains 5.8S ribosomal RNA, internal transcribed spacer 2, and large subunit ribosomal RNA". The record is from RNAcentral.
AACGCACGAGACCUGCGGACCUGCGGAGGGAUCAUUACUGAGUUAGGGUUCCCUUCUUCGGGGCCCGACCUCCCAACCCUGUGUCUAUCAUACCUUGUCGUUGCUUCGGCGGACCGGUUGACCAACUGGUCUCGACCGCCGGGGUGGCCCAGCCGCCCUGGAGAGUGUCCGCCGACGGCCUACCACAAAACUCUUGUACCUAAACCUGUCGUCUGAAUUUUGAUAAAUAUAAACCAAAAC